CAGCAGUGGGGAAUAUUGCACAAUGGGCGCAAGCCUGAUGCAGCCAUGCCGCGUGUAUGAAGAAGGCCUUCGGGUUGUAAAGUACUUUCAGCAGUGAGGAAGGUGGGUAUGUUAAUAGCAUACUCAUUUGACGUUAGCUGCAGAAGAAGCACCGGCUAACUCCGUGCCAGCAGCCGCGGUAAUACGGAGGGUGCGAGCGUUAAUCGGAAUUACUGGGCGUAAAGCGCAUGCAGGUGGUUUGUUAAGUCAGAUGUGAAAGCCCGGGGCUCAACCUCGGAAUUGCAUUUGAAACUGGACAAACUAGAGUACUGUAGAGGGGGUAGAAUUUCAGGUGUAGCGGUGAAAUGCGUAGAGAUCUGAAGGAAUACCGGUGGCGAAGGCGGCCCCCUGGACAGAUACUGACACUCAGAUGCGAAAGCGUGGGGAGCAAACAGGAUUAGAUACCCUGGUAG
RNAcentral lists this ribosomal RNA (452 nucleotides) under uncultured bacterium. RNAcentral describes it as "bacterial SSU rRNA". It matches the Rfam family "Bacterial small subunit ribosomal RNA", at positions 349 to 793 of the family's 1533-position model. The record is from RNAcentral.